RNAcentral lists this ribosomal RNA (460 nucleotides) under uncultured bacterium. RNAcentral describes it as "partial 16S ribosomal RNA". It matches the Rfam family "Bacterial small subunit ribosomal RNA", at positions 338 to 795 of the family's 1533-position model. The record is from RNAcentral.
CCUACGGGAGGCAGCAGUGAGGAAUAUUGGUCAAUGGGCGUAAGCCUGAACCAGCCAAGUCGCGUGAGGGAUGAAGGUUCUAUGGAUCGUAAACCUCUUUUAUAAGGGAAUAAAGUGCGGGACGUGUCCCGUUUUGUAUGUACCUUAUGAAUAAGGAUCGGCUAACUCCGUGCCAGCAGCCGCGGUAAUACGGAGGAUCCGAGCGUUAUCCGGAUUUAUUGGGUUUAAAGGGUGCGUAGGCGGCCUUUUAAGUCAGCGGUGAAAGUCUGUGGCUCAACCAUAGAAUUGCCGUUGAAACUGGGAGGCUUGAGUUCGUGAGAGGCAGGCGGAAUGCGUGGUGUAGCGGUGAAAUGCUUAGAUAUCACGCAGAACCCCGAUUGCGAAGGCAGCCUGCUAAGCCAUGACUGACGCUGAUGCACGAAAGCGUGGGGAUCAAACAGGAUUAGAUACCCGAGUAGUC